Molecule: ribosomal RNA, 305 nt
Filed under: uncultured bacterium
Lineage: Bacteria
Description: bacterial SSU rRNA
Rfam family: Bacterial small subunit ribosomal RNA
Source: RNAcentral
UGACUCCUACGGGGCGCAGCAGUGGGGAAUAUUGCACAAUGGGGGAAACCCUGAUGCAGCAACGCCGCGUGAGUGAAGAAGUAUUUCGGUAUGUAAAGCUCCAUCAGCAGGGAAGAGAAUGACGGUACCUGACUAAGAAGCCCCGGCUAACUACGUGCCAGCAGCCGCGGUAAUACGUAGGGGGCAAGCGUUAUCCGGAUUUACUGGGUGUAAAGGGAGCGUAGACGGCAGUGCAAGUCUGGAGUGAAAGGCGGGGGCUCAACCCCCGGACUGCUCUGGCAACUGUACGGCUGGAGUGCAGGAGG